AGUGACGCGCAUGAAUGGAUGAA
RNAcentral lists this non-coding RNA (23 nucleotides) under Xenopus tropicalis (tropical clawed frog). The record is from RNAcentral. RNAcentral also lists the same sequence under 2 other names. Lineage: Eukaryota; Metazoa; Chordata; Amphibia; Anura; Pipidae.